UACGUAGGGUGCAAGCGUUAAUCGGAAUUACUGGGCGUAAAGCGUGCGCAGGCGGUUGUGCAAGACAGAUGUGAAAUCCCCGGGCUCAACCUGGGAACUGCAUUUGUGACUGCACGGCUGGAGUGCGGCCGAGGGGGAUGGAAUUCCGCGUGUAGCAGUGAAAUGCGUAGAUAUGCGGAGGAACACCGAUGGCGAAGGCAAUCCCCUGGGCCUGCACUGACGCUCAUGCACGAAAGCGUGGGGAGCAAACAGG
Molecule: ribosomal RNA, 253 nt
Filed under: uncultured bacterium
Lineage: Bacteria
Description: partial 16S ribosomal RNA
Rfam family: Bacterial small subunit ribosomal RNA
Source: RNAcentral